RNAcentral lists this ribosomal RNA (3011 nucleotides) under Yersinia ruckeri. RNAcentral describes it as "bacterial LSU rRNA". It matches the Rfam family "Bacterial large subunit ribosomal RNA". Lineage: Bacteria; Pseudomonadati; Pseudomonadota; Gammaproteobacteria; Enterobacterales; Yersiniaceae. The record is from RNAcentral.
UUAAGCGACUAAGCGUACACGGUGGAUGCCUAGGCAGUCAGAGGCGAUGAAGGGCGUGCUAAUCUGCGAAAAGCGUCGGUAAGCUGAUAUGAAGCGUAAUAACCGACGAUACCCGAAUGGGGAAACCCAGUGCAAUUCGUUGCACUAUUGCAUGGUGAAUACAUAGCCAUGCAAGGCGAACCGGGGGAACUGAAACAUCUAAGUACCCCGAGGAAAAGAAAUCAACCGAGAUUCCCCCAGUAGCGGCGAGCGAACGGGGAAGAGCCCAGAGUCUGAAUCAGUUUGUGUGUUAGUGGAAGCGUCUGGAAAGUCGCACGGUACAGGGUGAUAGUCCCGUACACAAAAACACACUGGCUGUGAACUCGAUGAGUAGGGCGGGACACGUGACAUCCUGUCUGAAUAUGGGGGGACCAUCCUCCAAGGCUAAAUACUCCUGACUGACCGAUAGUGAACCAGUACCGUGAGGGAAAGGCGAAAAGAACCCCGGCGAGGGGAGUGAAAUAGAACCUGAAACCGUGUACGUACAAGCAGUGGGAGCCCCACCACCAAAGCAUUCUCUGGUGUUAAAGGCCAUGCUGAAGCUCAAUCACGCGUUGGCGGAGCGUCCUUUGCGACGCCCAACACAAAAAACAAGCGGUGAGUGCUUUGGGGUGGGGUGACUGCGUACCUUUUGUAUAAUGGGUCAGCGACUUAUAUUUUGUAGCAAGGUUAACCGAAUAGGGGAGCCGUAGGGAAACCGAGUCUUAACUGGGCGUCUAGUUGCAAGGUAUAGACCCGAAACCCGGUGAUCUAGCCAUGGGCAGGUUGAAGGUUGGGUAACACUAACUGGAGGACCGAACCGACUAAUGUUGAAAAAUUAGCGGAUGACUUGUGGCUGGGGGUGAAAGGCCAAUCAAACCGGGAGAUAGCUGGUUCUCCCCGAAAGCUAUUUAGGUAGCGCCUCGUGAACUCAUCUUCGGGGGUAGAGCACUGUUUCGGCUAGGGGUCCAUCCCGGAUUACCAAACCGAUGCAAACUCCGAAUACCGAAGAAUGUUAUCACGGGAGACACACGGCGGGUGCUAACGUCCGUCGUGAAGAGGGAAACAACCCAGACCGCCAGCUAAGGUCCCAAAGUCAUGGUUAAGUGGGAAACGAUGUGGGAAGGCAUAGACAGCCAGGAUGUUGGCUUAGAAGCAGCCAUCAUUUAAAGAAAGCGUAAUAGCUCACUGGUCGAGUCGGCCUGCGCGGAAGAUGUAACGGGGCUAAACCAUGCACCGAAGCUGCGGCAGCGACGCUUAGGCGUUGUUGGGUAGGGGAGCGUUCUGUAAGCCGUUGAAGGUGGCCUGUGAGGGCUGCUGGAGGUAUCAGAAGUGCGAAUGCUGACAUAAGUAACGAUAAUGCGGGUGAAAAACCCGCACGCCGGAAGACCAAGGGUUCCUGUCCAACGUUAAUCGGGGCAGGGUGAGUCGACCCCUAAGGCGAGGCUGAAAAGCGUAGUCGAUGGGAAACAGGUUAAUAUUCCUGUACUGGGUGUGACUGCGAAGGGGGGACGGAGAAGGCUAGGCUAGCCGGGCGACGGUUGUCCCGGUUUAAGCAUGUAGGCGGAGUGACUUGGUAAAUCCGGUUGCUUAUCAACGCUGAGGUGUGAUGACGAGCCACUACGGUGGUGAAGUAGUUGAUGCCAAGCUUCCAGGAAAAGCCUCUAAGCAUCAGGUGACAUUCAAUCGUACCCCAAACCGACACAGGUGGUCAGGUAGAGAAUACUCAGGCGCUUGAGAGAACUCGGGUGAAGGAACUAGGCAAAAUGGUGCCGUAACUUCGGGAGAAGGCACGCUGGCAUUAGGUAAAGAGACUUGCUCUCGGCGCCGAAGCCAGUCGCAGAUACCAGCUGGCUGCAACUGUUUAAUAAAAACACAGCACUGUGCAAACACGAAAGUGGACGUAUACGGUGUGACGCCUGCCCGGUGCUGGAAGGUUAAUUGAUGGGGUCAGCCGCAAGGCGAAGCUCUUGAUCGAAGCCCCAGUAAACGGCGGCCGUAACUAUAACGGUCCUAAGGUAGCGAAAUUCCUUGUCGGGUAAGUUCCGACCUGCACGAAUGGCGUAAUGAUGGCCAGGCUGUCUCCACCCGAGACUCAGUGAAAUUGAACUCGCUGUGAAGAUGCAGUGUACCCGCGGCAAGACGGAAAGACCCCGUGAACCUUUACUAUAGCUUGACACUGAAUAUUGAGCCUUGAUGUGUAGGAUAGGUGGGAGGCAUCGAAGCGUGGACGCCAGUCUGCGUGGAGCCAACCUUGAAAUACCACCCUUUAAUGUUUGAUGUUCUAACUCGGCCCCAUAAUCUGGGGUGAGGACAGUGUCUGGUGGGUAGUUUGACUGGGGCGGUCUCCUCCCAAAGAGUAACGGAGGAGCACGAAGGUUAGCUAAUCACGGUCGGACAUCGUGAGGUUAGUGCAAAGGCAUAAGCUAGCUUGACUGCGAGAGUGACGGCUCGAGCAGGUACGAAAGUAGGUCUUAGUGAUCCGGUGGUUCUGAAUGGAAGGGCCAUCGCUCAACGGAUAAAAGGUACUCCGGGGAUAACAGGCUGAUACCGCCCAAGAGUUCAUAUCGACGGCGGUGUUUGGCACCUCGAUGUCGGCUCAUCACAUCCUGGGGCUGAAGUAGGUCCCAAGGGUAUGGCUGUUCGCCAUUUAAAGUGGUACGCGAGCUGGGUUUAGAACGUCGUGAGACAGUUCGGUCCCUAUCUGCCGUGGGCGUUGGAAGAUUGAGAGGGGCUGCUCCUAGUACGAGAGGACCGGAGUGGACGCAUCACUGGUGUUCGGGUUGUCAUGCCAAUGGCAUUGCCCGGUAGCUAAAUGCGGAAAAGAUAAGCGCUGAAAGCAUCUAAGCGCGAAACUUGCCUCGAGAUGAGUCUUCCCUGGGGCUUUAAGCCCCCUGAAGGAACGUUAAAGACUAUGACGUUGAUAGGCUGGGUGUGUAAGUGCAGCGAUGCAUUGAGCUAACCAGUACUAAUGAUCCGUGAGGCUUAACCUU